This 497-nucleotide ribosomal RNA is filed under the name uncultured bacterium. Its description in RNAcentral is "partial 16S ribosomal RNA". It matches the Rfam family "Bacterial small subunit ribosomal RNA", at positions 28 to 507 of the family's 1533-position model. The record is from RNAcentral.
GAUGAACGCUGGCGGCGUGCCUAAUACAUGCCAGUCGAGCGAACGGACGAGAAGCUUGCUUCUCUGAUGUUAGCGGCGGACGGGUGAGUAACACGUGGAUAACCUACCUAUAAGACUGGGAUAACUUCGGGAAACCGUAGCUAAUACCGGAUAAUAUUUUGAACCGCAUGGUUCAAAAGUGAAAGACGGUCUUGCUGUCACUUAUAGAUGGAUCCGCGCUGCAUUAGCUAGUUGGUAAGGUAACGGCUUACCAAGGCAACGAUGCAUAGCCGACCUGAGAGGGUGAUCGGCCACACUGGAACUGAGACACGGUCCAGACUCCUACGGGAGGCAGCAGUAGGGAAUCUUCCGCAAUGGGCGAAAGCCUGACGGAGCAACGCCGCGUGAGUGAUGAAGGUCUUCGGAUCGUAAAACUCUGUUAUUAGGGAAGAACAUAUGUGUAAGUAACUGUGCACAUCUUGACGGUACCUAAUCAGAAAGCCACGGCCAACUACGUG